CAGCUCUCCGAGUGGUAGGGAUGAUUAUUGGGCUUAAAGCGUCCGUAGCCUGCUUAGCAAGUCUCCUGUUAAAUUCAGCGACCUAAUCGUUGAGCCGCGGGAGAUACUACUAGGCUAGGAGGCGGGAGAGGUCGACGGUACUUCUGGGGUAGGGGUGAAAUCCUAUAAUCCCGGGAGGACCACCAGUGGCGAAGACUGUCGACUAGAACGCGCUCGACGGUGAGGGACGAAAGCUGGGGGAGCGAACCGGAUUAGAUACCCGAGUAGUCC
RNAcentral lists this ribosomal RNA (270 nucleotides) under uncultured archaeon. RNAcentral describes it as "partial 16S ribosomal RNA". It matches the Rfam family "Archaeal small subunit ribosomal RNA", at positions 477 to 747 of the family's 1478-position model. The record is from RNAcentral.